This 422-nucleotide ribosomal RNA is filed under the name uncultured prokaryote. RNAcentral describes it as "bacterial SSU rRNA". It matches the Rfam family "Bacterial small subunit ribosomal RNA", at positions 355 to 774 of the family's 1533-position model. The record is from RNAcentral.
UGAGGAAUAUUGGUCAAUGGGCGAGAGCCUGAACCAGCCAAGUAGCGUGCAGGAUGACGGCCCUAUGGGUUGUAAACUGCUUUUAUAAGGGAAUAAAGUGAGUCUCGUGAGACUUUUUGCAUGUACCUUAUGAAUAAGGACCGGCUAAUUCCGUGCCAGCAGCCGCGGUAAUACGGAAGGUCCGGGCGUUAUCCGGAUUUAUUGGGUUUAAAGGGCGCGUAGGCGGUUAUGUAAGUCAGAUGUGAAAUACUUCGGCUUAACCGAAGAACUGCAUUUGAUACUACAUAGCUAGAGUACAGAAGAGGGAAAUGGAAUUCCCGGUGUAGAGGUGAAAUUCGUAGAUAUUACACAGAACACCAAUUGCGUAGGCAGCUUACUGAGCCGACACUGACGCUGAGGCACGAAAGCGUGGGGAUCGAACA